Molecule: ribosomal RNA, 433 nt
Filed under: uncultured bacterium
Lineage: Bacteria
Description: partial 16S ribosomal RNA
Rfam family: Bacterial small subunit ribosomal RNA
Source: RNAcentral
AACGAACGCUGGCGGCAUGCCUAACACAUGCAAGUCGAACGAGACCUUCGGGGCUAGUGGCGCACGGGUGCGUAACGCGGGGGAACCUGCCCUUAGGUUCGGAAUAACUCCCCGAAAGGGGUGCUAAUACCGGAUAAUGUCUUCGGACCAAAGAUUUAUCGCGAUUGGAUGGGCCCGCGUUGGAUUAGCUGGUUGGUAGGGUAAAAGCCUACCAAGGCGACGAUCCAUAGCUGGUCUGAGAGGAUGAUCAGCCACACUGGGACUGAGACACGGCCCAGACUCCUACGGGAGGGAGCAGUGGGGAAUAUUGGACAAUGGGCGAAAGCCUGAUCCAGCAAUGCCGCGUGAGUGAUGAAGGCCUUAGGGUUGUAAAGCUCUUUUACCCGGGAUGAUAAUGACAGUACCGGGAGAAUAAGCUCCGGCUAACUCCGUG